AAGCUCCUGACUCUGGACUCAGGAACUAGCGGGGCCCAAGGGACACUGAGGCUGGACAUGUAAGUGUCCCUGGGAAUUCUCACCAAUAAUUGUCACAGGAGGGCUCUGAUGAAACUCUGAGACUUCUGACAGCAAGUAUGUUGGGGCACAGUGCAUGGAAAAUAUGGGAUACUCCUGCGAAUGUAAGAUGUCACUGGUUGCCGAAUUAUAAGCUCCCUGAGGACAAGGGCAUUGUUGGUCCUAUUCACCUUCGAGUUUCCAGAACAUAGUGGAGUCCAGAGUCCAUGGCAUUGGGUGAAUGUGGGGUUCGUAACAGCUCGUAUGCAGAUGUCAAGUUGAGAAACUCUGGCCUGGCAUGAAGUAGUAACUAUGAUUCCCAAACAGCUAAGUGGAAGAUGUGCUCCCGAGGGCUUGGGCCAUCAGAUGCAUUGUUCCCUUUUCCUUCUCAGAUUCUUUUGGUGGCAUGACAAAAGCCAACCUGACAUUUGCCAGCUGCACCCAGCCACUGAGAGAGAAUGAAUGCUCUGGAAAGAUCUGAGUGGUCCCAAUUGUACAUCCCUUGAGCUCAGAGCUUAUAUCUGCUCUAUACUGCAAGA
This is a long non-coding RNA of Sciurus carolinensis (gray squirrel), 596 nucleotides long. RefSeq lists it as uncharacterized. The transcript is spliced from 3 exons. NCBI's taxonomy places the organism in Eukaryota, Metazoa, Chordata, Mammalia, Rodentia, Sciuridae. The record is from RefSeq and is a predicted model, not a curated record.